GCCCCACUUAGGUCAGCCCUAGUAGCAGCUGCGGCCAAUGGAGCUCCACCUAGGCCAGUCCCAGCCCCACCUAGCCCAGCCCCAGUGGCAGCUGUGGCCAGUGGAGUUGCAGGACUACCUGCGGGAGAUGCUGGAGGGUCCG
Molecule: long non-coding RNA, 142 nt
Organism: Ixodes scapularis (black-legged tick)
Lineage: Eukaryota; Metazoa; Arthropoda; Arachnida; Ixodida; Ixodidae
Exons: 3
Source: RefSeq, a predicted model, not a curated record